UGGGGAAUUUUGGACAAUGGGGGAAACCCCGAUCCAGCCAUCCCGCGUGUGCGAUGAAGGCCUUCGGGUUGUAAAGCACUUUUGGCAGGAAAGAAACGUCAUGGGUUAAUACCCCGUGAAACUGACGGUACCUGCAGAAUAAGCACCGGCUAACUACGUGCCAGCAGCCGCGGUAAUACGUAGGGUGCAAGCGUUAAUCGGAAUUACUGGGCGUAAAGCGUGCGCAGGCGGUUCGGAAAGAAAGAUGUGAAAUCCCAGAGCUCAUCUUUGGAACCGCAUUUUUAGCUACCGGGCUAGGGUGUGUCAGAGGGAGGUGGGAUUCCGCGUGUAGCCGUAAGAUGCGUAGAUAUGCAGAGGAACACCGAUGGCGAAGGCAGCCUCCUGGGAUAACACUUGCGCUCAUGCAAGAACGCGUGGGGAGCAAACAGG
This 429-nucleotide ribosomal RNA is filed under the name Acidobacteriota bacterium. Its description in RNAcentral is "Acidobacteria bacterium partial 16S ribosomal RNA". It matches the Rfam family "Bacterial small subunit ribosomal RNA", at positions 355 to 776 of the family's 1533-position model. The record is from RNAcentral. Lineage: Bacteria; Pseudomonadati; Acidobacteriota.